GUUUAUUAGGGAGCGCCCCCAUGGGCAACACCUGUAGGUUGUGAAGGCACUAUGAUUGGGCAGAAGGAGGAGUUGGACUACGAGGCAUUUGCAACAAAAGCCUCAGUUGACCCCACUGGGAACUCUGGAGCAGGACAAAUCUUCGCAACUCCGUCUCUUGAGGCCAUUGUCCUCAUCCUAUCGCCUCCCUGCUUGCUCAGCUCCAACCCCACCUGUCUUUCUCACGUUGAACUAGCUUUAAGGAGAAGAGACACAAUUGCCAGCAGGUGAAAGGUAGAGAUGUUCAAAAUUGACUGUCUUAAGAAGACUCCUGGGCAGAAAAAUGUGAGAAUAACCUGAGUGAAGAUAUGAACAUACCAAGAGAAAGAUUGUGUCAAUCAUAAAGAGAAUAGAUCAUCAGUGAAGGAAUAAACAUAGGAAAAGUAGAAGAUACACCAGGAAAGAAGAAAGCGAGAGUGCAGCACACAGCAUCCAGAACUGAGGAGCACUAUCAAACAGCUUAAUGUAUGUGUAAUUAGAAUUAUAAACAGAGAAGGAGAGAGACUGGAGCAGAAGAAAUCUAGAAGAGAUAAGAAAAAGGAUCAAUUAAGUCCAACACAAACAGAAAGAAGGAAAUAACAAAGUAUCUGGGGAUCACUCGAGUUUCAACUGAUCGAGGCUGGGCUCAGCUUACCUUGGCUCCUGGUAGUGAGUUGGGUCCAGAUCUUCUCUACAUGUCUUCAUCACCUUUGAAUAAGCAAAUACUCAAGGCAUGAUCUUCUCAUAGUGGAAAGGCAAGAGCAAAAGAGAAGAGGAGUAAAAGAAACAUGUGAUGUCUGUUAAGACUCUGGCUAAGAACUGUAAAAUGUCAUUUUCACCAACAUUCCAAUGCCCCAAAUCAGUCAUAUGGUCAAGCCAUUUUUUUUUUUUUCACUGAGGAAGAUUUUCCCUGAAAUAACAUCUGUUGCCAAUCUUCCUCUGUUUUGUAUGUGGGCGACCUCCACAGCAUGGCCACUGAUGAGUGGUGUAGGUCUGUGGCUGGGAACUGAACCCAGGCCACCAAAGUGGACCACGCUGAAUUUAACCACUAGGCCACUGGCACUGGUCCAAGGCUAACAUUUUCGAGAUGGGGAAGCGCACUCCUCCCUUGAAGGUUGAAAAGAAGAGUGAAUAUUUGCUCAUUAAUAACCUAAUUUUUCAUAGUCUGCAAAUUACUAUUUUCAAUACUGCUCUAUCAGCAUCCUACUACUCAAAUUUUGAUGAGAGAGUUCCCUUGCUUUGCUGCUCUUGUCAAACAAAUGAAUAAAUAUAUUCAAUACAGUAUUGUUUUUGUUUUGUGAGGAAGAUUUUCCCUGAGCUAACAUCUGUUACCAAUCCUCUUCUACAUUUUUUUUUUUUUUUUUAGGAAGAUUAGCCUGGAGCUAACAUGUGCUGCCAAUCCUCCUCUUUUUGCUAAGGAAGACUGGCCCUGAGCUAACAUCUGUGCCCAUCUUCCUCCAGUGUAUAUGUGGGAAGCCUGCCACAGCAUGGCUUGCCAGGUGGUGCCAUGUCCGUGCACCUGGGAUCCGAACUGGUGAACCCCGUGCUGCCGAGAAGUAGAAUGUGCACACUUAACCACUGCACCACUGGGCUGGACCUCUUUUUUUCUUUUUGUUUGAGGAAGAUUAGCCCUGAGCUAACAUCUGUGCCAAUCUUCCUCUGCUUUCUAUGUGGGAUGCCUCCCCAGCAUGGUUUAUGAGUGGAGUAGGUCUGCACCUGGGAUCAGAACUCGCAAACCUUGGGCCACCAAAGCAGAGCAUGUAGAACUUUAACCACUUGGUCACAGGGCCAGCCCCACAAUAUAGUUUUAAUUCAUUGAUAAUGCAAGUAAUCACUUUGCUCAUUUCAUUUGCGAUGCAUCAAUAUAUAUGUGACCACCAAAAUGUCACAGUUAUCAGUGACCCAGGAAAGCAAAACUGAGUCAUGUGUAUAGUAAACACAGAACUAGUGUUUUGGAAUCACAGAACACUAAAUAUCUUUUAAUGAAGAGCUUAUAUCAAUGAAUACUAGAAAGGAGGAAACUGGAGAACAGAGUUUAAGCCAUGAUCCAAGUUCCCCAGCUAAUUAAUGGCAUAGCCAUGACCCAACUUAUUAUCCUUCCCACUGUACUUCCAUGGUAUUUAUGAAUCUAGCAACUUUUCAUUUAGUUUGCACACAUGCAUGUGCACACACGAACGAUGUUAGAAGGAAAUAAAGGCAGAACUGCUUCUGCAUUGAAGUGACAUUUAUCGGGAUAAUAUACCUUCUAUGACUAACCUUUGGAUUCUGCAUCAGUUUGACUUAAAUGGGAACAUAGAUGGAAGAGUUUGGGAAAUGAAAAUUGAAAUAUCAUCUGUAUGACAGAUAAUACUGAUUGGGGAAUGUAGCUUAGGUCUGAGGGACAAAGGAGCUUUCUAAAGCUUUCUCCUUCCCUAAUUUGGAUGAUUAGCCCCAAUCUAGCUUUGGGACAGCCUACAUGAAGAAAGAUGUGAACUCUGCAGGGCAGAUUCUGAAUCACUCUCCUUCAAUGGUCCAGGGAAGAGAGGGAAGAAAAGAGACUGAAUCUUCAGUGCUCACUGCCUUACAAGAAACUA
Molecule: long non-coding RNA, 2591 nt
Organism: Equus caballus (horse)
Lineage: Eukaryota; Metazoa; Chordata; Mammalia; Perissodactyla; Equidae
Source: Ensembl